This 63-nucleotide transfer RNA is filed under the name Drynaria acuminata. RNAcentral describes it as "tRNA-Val". It matches the Rfam family "tRNA". Rfam says of the family: Transfer RNA (tRNA) molecules are approximately 80 nucleotides in length. Their secondary structure includes four short double-helical elements and three loops (D, anti-codon, and T loops). The record is from RNAcentral. Lineage: Eukaryota; Viridiplantae; Streptophyta; Polypodiopsida; Polypodiales; Polypodiaceae.
AGGGCUAUAGCUCAGCGGUAGAGCAAUGACCGAGAAUGUCUACGGUUCGAACCCGUAUAGUCC